Molecule: ribosomal RNA, 427 nt
Filed under: uncultured bacterium
Lineage: Bacteria
Description: bacterial SSU rRNA
Rfam family: Bacterial small subunit ribosomal RNA
Source: RNAcentral
UGGGGAAUUUUGGACAAUGGGGGCAACCCUGAUCCAGCCAUUCCGCGUGAGUGAAGAAGGCCUUCGGGUUGUAAAGCUCUUUCGGCAGGAACGAAACGGCGAGCUCUAACAUAGCUUGCUAAUGACGGUACCUGAAGAAGAAGCACCGGCUAACUACGUGCCAGCAGCCGCGGUAAUACGUAGGGUGCGAGCGUUAAUCGGAAUUACUGGGCGUAAAGCGUGCGCAGGCGGUUAUAUAAGACAGAUGUGAAAUCCCCGGGCUCAACCUGGGAACUGCAUUUGUGACUGUAUAGCUAGAGUACGGCAGAGGGGGAUGGAAUUCCGCGUGUAGCAGUGAAAUGCGUAGAUAUGCGGAGGAACACCGAUGGCGAAGGCAAUCCCCUGGGCCUGCACUGACGCUCAUGCACGAAAGCGUGGGGAGCAAACA